Molecule: transfer RNA, 68 nt
Filed under: Marmota monax (woodchuck)
Lineage: Eukaryota; Metazoa; Chordata; Mammalia; Rodentia; Sciuridae
Description: tRNA.Ala
Source: RNAcentral
GGUUUGUGGCUCAGUGGUAGAGCGCUUGCCUAGCAUGCAUGAGGCACUUUGUUCGAUCCUCAGCACCA